Molecule: long non-coding RNA, 1176 nt
Organism: Strongylocentrotus purpuratus (purple sea urchin)
Lineage: Eukaryota; Metazoa; Echinodermata; Echinoidea; Camarodonta; Strongylocentrotidae
Exons: 6
Source: RefSeq, a predicted model, not a curated record
CAUAGAGAAGACACCAGUGAUAGUGAGCACCACGUCAACUACAGUAGGUCUUCGAUGGAAUGCAUGGUCUGAAGAAGAUGACAUUGGUGAUCCUCCUCUGGUAGGAUAUGAUGUCUUUGUAAAGAAGGAAAGUGACUGGGUAACGGAUCAGAGAGUAGACCAAGUCACAACAUUAGCUAUCGUUAGUAACCUGACACCCGACACAGAUUACAGGUUUCGUGUAGCAGCAGUGAGGGAAGGAACCGGCGGAACAGGACCGUGUCUCCUUGGAACAACACAAUAACUCGCUGUAGAAAACCCAGUGCGUCUCCAACUAGACUACAAGUUUCAGCCAUCAACCCUAAAGAGCUAGAGGUGACAUGGGAGCAUCCCCCCUCAGAAUCAGCAGAAUGCAGGAGUGGAGUGACCCAUUAUAUGAUCUACUAUGCUGCCAUUGGAUCAACGUCUUCAAACUCUAUCUUAGUUGGUAUCUCGUGACGAUAGCUCCUGUGUGAUAAGAGGGUUAGAAACCUAUCUGGACUAUACCAUCCAAAUAACUGCAUCAAAUAAAGACGAGGAAAGUGAUAGGAGCAGUGAGAUUAUCGGCAAAACAAUUGAAGAAGUUGCACCUAGUCCUAUCAAUGUGGCUAUACCGCGGAGUACUACAAGCUCCUUCACUGUAUCCUGGUCUACCCCUCUACCAUCUAACAUCAAUGGUAACAUCCAGAAGUAUAUCAUCCGCUUCAAGCAAACUGAUCCAGUUGUUGAUGGUGACUAUAAGAUGGAGGAAGUAUUGAAUGGUGCGUUUAAAGGAGAGCAUACUGUUAUAGACCUGACAGCAAAGUCCAACUACUCAGUUCAGGUACAGACUGUUAAUGGAGCUGGUUCUAGCAAUUGGUCAGAACCUGUGAAUGCUAAGGCGAUACCAUCAGUACCAAACAAAGACGUUUAAACGCUGAGCCGGCCGCGUCACCACCAAAUACUGCACAAGAGGCCUCUUCGAAGUAUGGGAACUCUGCAUAUGAUGACACAGACACCCAUACAUACCAAAAUCCUAAUACUGACACACCUAAUUACCACACCUACGAAGAAAUUAUAUAGAAGCAACCCAAGCGUGGCAAAGGUGUAUGUUGCCAAUAUUGAUGCUUGCUGGCAGGCGCGUACGCAGGAAUUUUUUUUUUAUGUGUGUAUUUUGGA